This 435-nucleotide ribosomal RNA is filed under the name uncultured bacterium. RNAcentral's name for it is "partial 16S ribosomal RNA". It matches the Rfam family "Bacterial small subunit ribosomal RNA", at positions 29 to 507 of the family's 1533-position model. The record is from RNAcentral.
AGCGAACGCUGGCGGCAGGCUUAACACAUGCAAGUCGAGCGGGCAUCUUCGGAUGUCAGCGGCAGACGGGUGCGUAACACGUGGGAACGUACCCUUCGGUUCGGAACAACUCUGGGAAACUGGAGCUAAUACCGGAUACGCCCUUAUGGGGAAAGGUUUACUGCCGAAGGAUCGGCCCGCGUCUGAUUAGCUAGUUGGUGGGGUAACGGCCUACCAAGGCGACGAUCAGUAGCUGGUCUGAGAGGAUGAUCAGCCACACUGGGACUGAGACACGGCCCAGACUCCUACGGGAGGCAGCAGUGGGGAAUAUUGGACAAUGGGCGCAAGCCUGAUCCAGCCAUGCCGCGUGAGUGAUGAAGGCCUUAGGGUUGUAAAGCUCUUUUGUCCGGGACGAUAAUGACGGUACCGGGAGAAUAAGCCCCGGCUAACUUCGUG